RNAcentral lists this long non-coding RNA (451 nucleotides) under Fukomys damarensis (Damara mole-rat). RNAcentral describes it as "lncRNA (ENSFDAG00000027850.1)". Lineage: Eukaryota; Metazoa; Chordata; Mammalia; Rodentia; Bathyergidae. The record is from RNAcentral.
AUUUAAUUUUCUCAUGGUUUCAGGGAAUUCAGACCACGGUCAGCUGUCUCCAAGGCAGUGACAUCAUAGCAGAAGGGAGUGGUGGAACAAAUAUACUUAGCUCAUGUUGGUCAAGAAGCAGAACAGGAGAACAACGCCAGAAAGGAAGAGGCUAGGGAGCAAGAUGAUGAUUCCAUGACACCCCCCAGAUCCCCCCAGCAGCAGUGUGCUUUACUGCUACCCUAUGCAGCUCCCAAGCCAAUCACACUGACACAAUUAAGUUGGACCACUACCCUUUGCAUGGAUGAAAUCUGGCAAAGAGAUUUGAAAAAACUGCCUAGGGGAUUGGUAAAUUCUCCGUGUAUCUGUGGAUGGCUGAUAUAUAGGCAACAACCUGAGGGAGAAAGACCUACUGCAGAUGUUGUGUCACCAACAGACAGACUUGUACCUGGGACAGAAUGAAAAGGCAAAG